Molecule: ribosomal RNA, 372 nt
Filed under: uncultured organism
Description: partial 16S ribosomal RNA
Rfam family: Bacterial small subunit ribosomal RNA
Source: RNAcentral
GUAGGUGGCAAGCGUUGUCCGGAAUUAUUGGGCGUAAAGCGCGCGCAGGCGGUCCCUUAAGUCUGAUGUGAAAGCCCACGGCUCAACCGUGGAGGGUCAUUGGAAACUGGGGGACUUGAGUACAGAAGAGGAAAGUGGAAUUCCACGUGUAGCGGUGAAAUGCGUAGAGAUGUGGAGGAACACCAGUGGCGAAGGCGACUUUCUGGUCUGUAACUGACGCUGAGGCGCGAAAGCGUGGGGAGCAAACAGGGAUUAGAUACCCUGGUAGUCCACGCCGUAAACGAUGAGUGCUAAGUGUUAGAGGGUUUCCGCCCCUUUAGUGCUGCAGCUAACGCAUUAAGCACUCCGCCUGGGGAUACGGCCGCAAGGCUG